GUCUUUUUGUAAAUAAUUUAAAGUUGAAUUUGCCCCCUGAUUUAAUUAAAGGGGUGCCGUAAAUUGACUGUACAAAGGUAGCAUAAUCAUUAGUCUUUUAAUUGAAGACUUGUAUGAAAGAUUUGAUGAGAUAUAUACUGUCUCUUUUUUAUAUUUAGAAUUUAAUUUUUUAGUAAAAAAGCUAAAAUUUUUUUAAAAGACGAGAAGACCCUAUAGAGUUUUAUUAUUAUUAUAAUUUUAAUUUUUUAUUAAUGUUUAAUAGAAAUUAUAUUAAUAAUUUUAUUGGGGUGAUAAAGAAAUUAAAUAAACUUUUUUUUUUAAUUAAACAUUAAUUUAUGAAAAAAUGAUCCAUAAUUUAUGAUUAUAAGAAAAAAUUACCUUAGGGAUAACAGCGUAAUUUUUUUUUUUAGUUCUUAUAAAAAAAAAAGUUUGCGACCUCGAUGUUGGAUUAAGAUAAAAUUUAAAUGUAAAAGUUUAAAAUUUUGAUCUGUUCGAUCAUUAAAAUCUUACA
Molecule: ribosomal RNA, 511 nt
Filed under: Ampittia subvittatus
Lineage: Eukaryota; Metazoa; Arthropoda; Insecta; Lepidoptera; Hesperiidae
Description: partial 16S ribosomal RNA
Rfam family: Bacterial large subunit ribosomal RNA (bases 385-511)
Source: RNAcentral